CGUGUGUGAAGAAGGCCUUUUGGUUGUAAAGCACUUUAAGCGGGGAGGAGGCUCUUGAGGAUAAUACCCUUGAUGAGUGGACGUUACCCGCAGAAUAAGCACCGGCUAACUCUGUGCCAGCAGCCGCGGUAAUACAGAGGGUGCGAGCGUUAAUCGGAUUUACUGGGCGUAAAGCGUGCGUAGGCGGCUGAAUAAGUCGGAUGUGAAAUCCCCGAGCUUAACUUGGGAAUUGCAUACGAUACUGUUAUGGCUAGAGUAUGGGAGAGGAU
RNAcentral lists this ribosomal RNA (269 nucleotides) under Acinetobacter sp. DG-04. Its description in RNAcentral is "partial 16S ribosomal RNA". It matches the Rfam family "Bacterial small subunit ribosomal RNA", at positions 400 to 659 of the family's 1533-position model. Lineage: Bacteria; Pseudomonadati; Pseudomonadota; Gammaproteobacteria; Moraxellales; Moraxellaceae. The record is from RNAcentral.